RNAcentral lists this ribosomal RNA (479 nucleotides) under uncultured bacterium. RNAcentral describes it as "bacterial SSU rRNA". It matches the Rfam family "Bacterial small subunit ribosomal RNA", at positions 8 to 526 of the family's 1533-position model. The record is from RNAcentral.
AGAGUUUGAUCCUGGCUCAGAGCGAACGCUAGCGGCGGGCCUAACACAUGCAAGUCGAGCGUGUCACUUCGGUGGCAAGCGGCGGACGGGUGAGUAACACGUAGGUAAUCUACCCUCAGGUGGGGAAUAACCCAGGGAAACCUGGGCUAAUACCGCAUGCGGCCUUCGGGUCAAAGCCUUCGGGCGCCUUUGGAUGAGCCUGCGUCGCAUUACCUAGUUGGCGGGGUAAAAGCCCACCAAGGGGACGAUGCGUAGCUGGUCUGAGAGGAUGAUCAGCCACACUGGGACUGAGACACGGCCCAGACUUCUACGGAAGGCAGCAGUGGGGAAUAUUGCGCAAUGGGCGAAAGCCUGACGCAGCCACGCCGCGUGGGUGAUGAAGGCCUUCGGGUUGUAAAGCCCUGUCGGGAGGGACGAAGUUCUGACGGUACCUCCCAAGAAAGCACCGGCUAACCCCGUGCCAGCCGCCGCGGUAAUAC